Molecule: long non-coding RNA, 693 nt
Organism: Empidonax traillii (willow flycatcher)
Lineage: Eukaryota; Metazoa; Chordata; Aves; Passeriformes; Tyrannidae
Exons: 5
Source: RefSeq, a predicted model, not a curated record
AAAAAUGCAUUUGCUUGUAGAACCAAAUAAAAUUAAAAGAAGGUAGAAAAACCCUGGAAGAAAGAUGUGUGCAAAGCAAAGACAAUCACAGCAUGCAGGGCUGACUUUCAACCAAAUAUUUAAGGAACUCUGCAGAGCCUGAUGUGCUCCACGCUGCAUGAUAUGAUGGGAAGGAAGCCUACCUCUACAGGAGGUCAUUGAGAAAGCAAGAUAAAGCGGCACUCUGAAAAGAUCAGCAGCAGGACAUAUCUCAAAAUAUUAUCAAAGGAAGAAAACUGUUUUCUUAAAGGGCAGCAGUCUCCACCGCAGAGAUUAAUUGGCACAAGAAAAAUAAUUAUAAAGCUCAGAAUUCACAACAGGAAAAUUGUCAGUCUGUGAAGUGCAUGGUCAUGGGAAGGAGCCAGGUAAGGGAUGAAGAAGAAUGUUUCCUAUUCUUAGCCAUUUGUGCCUUUCCUAAGCAAGAAAGAUUAAUAGAAGGUAGUUCUCACCAUUUAGAAAUUUUGUACAAUAUAGACUACUACAGCAGUAAAGGCCAGAGUGAGAACCCUUAGGAUACCCUAUACCAAACCCAAAAGGUAUUCCUGGAUAAAUCAUGUCUUCCAGAAAUAACAGCAGUGCCAUGCAGUGUUUUCUCCCGGUGAAGAUACUUAAGCACUUCUUGAAUUACCUCUAUUACUGGUGGAGGCAGAGGGG